Long non-coding RNA from Sapajus apella (tufted capuchin), 549 nucleotides. RefSeq lists it as uncharacterized. The record is from RefSeq and is a predicted model, not a curated record. The transcript is spliced from 2 exons. NCBI's taxonomy places the organism in Eukaryota, Metazoa, Chordata, Mammalia, Primates, Cebidae.
GCGGUGGGCUUCCUGGAGGAGGCGGUUGUCCGUGGAGCCUGGAACCUGCAUCUGGCCUCAGGCCGCUCUGUGCACAGCCAGGUUGACAGCCCGGAACCUGGGAGCCUGGCAGGGCGAUCAGAGGUCACUGGUUGAUUCACCCCACAACUGACAAAGCUACUUGGUUCUGAAAAACAAAACAAAGGAUCAGCGUGUUCCAAGCAAAAAAGUCAAAAAAGGUGACUUUAGUCUUCCGUUGGUUUAGAACGCCCGGUCAACGCCUGUUUUCAGUCUCCCAAGUUAGAAUCUGUGCCCUCAAGUUUACCACCCAUCCUUUGAAGAGGAUCAAAACAGGACAAUGUCUGUGAACGUCAGAACAUCCUAGGGUGGUCACAGUCAAAAACCCAACUGACAAAGGAACGUGGUCACCUCUGCGGCCUGUGAUAGCACAGCACAAUAACCCUAAUCACGAUUGAUGAUGCUCAGAUAUCAGGGUUUUAGAAACAGCACGCCAUUCUGGAACACAUGUUAAUACUAUUCACUAAAAUAUAACCUGAAGAUCAAACACCA